Non-coding RNA from Glycine max (soybean), 119 nucleotides. NCBI's taxonomy places the organism in Eukaryota, Viridiplantae, Streptophyta, Magnoliopsida, Fabales, Fabaceae. The record is from Rfam.
UUAAGACAGUGCUUACCUCAACAACGUCUUUGAAAGUAGACAUUCUAAGACGUUGCUGAUAUAAGCACCGUCUUAAAAUGCGUACUUUCAAAGACGUUGCUGAUGUAAGCACCGUUUUU